GGCCUACGGGGGGCAGCAGUGGGGGAUAUUGCACAAUGGGGGAAACCCUGAUGCAGCGACGCCGCGUGGGUGAAGAAGCGCCUCGGCGCGUAAAGCCCUGUCAGCAGGGAAGAAAAUGACGGUACCUGAAGAAGAAGCCCCGGCUAACUACGUGCCAGCAGCCGCGGUAAUACGUAGGGGGCAAGCGUUAUCCGGAUUUACUGGGUGUAAAGGGGGCGCAGACGGCAGUGCAAGUCCGGAGUGAAAGCCCGGGGCUCAACCCUGGGACUGCUCUGUAAACUGUAAAGCUGGAGUGCGGGAGGGGC
RNAcentral lists this ribosomal RNA (305 nucleotides) under uncultured bacterium. RNAcentral's name for it is "bacterial SSU rRNA". It matches the Rfam family "Bacterial small subunit ribosomal RNA", at positions 335 to 658 of the family's 1533-position model. The record is from RNAcentral.